This 492-nucleotide ribosomal RNA is filed under the name uncultured bacterium. RNAcentral's name for it is "bacterial SSU rRNA". It matches the Rfam family "Bacterial small subunit ribosomal RNA", at positions 30 to 521 of the family's 1533-position model. The record is from RNAcentral.
AUUGAACGCUGGCGGCAUGCCUUACACAUGCAAGUCGAACGGUAACAGGUCUUCGGAUGCUGACGAGUGGCGAACGGGUGAGUAAUACAUCGGAACGUGCCCGAUCGUGGGGGAUAACGCAGCGAAAGCUGUGCUAAUACCGCAUACGAUCUACGGAUGAAAGCGGGGAUCGCAAGACCUCGCGCGGACGGAGCGGCCGAUGGCAGAUUAGGUAGUUGGUGGGAUAAAAGCUUACCAAGCCGACGAUCUGUAGCUGGUCUGAGAGGACGACCAGCCACACUGGGACUGAGACACGGCCCAGACUCCUACGGGAGGCAGCAGUGGGGAAUUUUGGACAAUGGGGGAAACCCUGAUCCAGCCAUGCCGCGUGCAGGAUGAAGGCCUUCGGGUUGUAAACUGCUUUGUACGGAACGAAAGGUCCUUCUAAUAAAGAGGGCUCAUGACGGUACCGUAAGAAUAAGCACCGGCUAACUACGUGCCAGCAGCCGCGGU